This 556-nucleotide long non-coding RNA is filed under the name Medicago truncatula (barrel medic). RNAcentral describes it as "long non-coding RNA (MTRU_LNC008185)". The record is from RNAcentral. Lineage: Eukaryota; Viridiplantae; Streptophyta; Magnoliopsida; Fabales; Fabaceae.
GAACAUCUAUUGGAACAUUUUUUUUAGUAUUUAGAAUUGGUCUCUCAAUUAGCCUUCAACAAAAGAAAGAAAACAGGACAAAAAAUGAGUAAAAAAAGUCAUCUAUGAACAGCAAAGCAAAUUUUCCCUCUUCUUCCUCCUCAGAAAAACUGUGUUUCCAUUUUGGUGUUUAUAAUAGCUUCGAUCUUAAUACUUUAGUCAUAUCAGUAUAACACUUUUCUCAAAUGGGUUAAGAUCUAUAUGAAGUUGUUGCCUUUUCUCAAAUAGCAAUCUGUGAGCAGAUUUUUGACAUCAAGUAACGCUCUCAUUCUAGAUCUGAACAAAAUUCUCCUCAAGACACGAUUAACAUGGAGUUUGGAUUAAGGGUUCAAUAGAAAUGAUUUUCGGAUAAUUUCAAAGAGAUGAAGAAAUACACACAGAAUAAAUGGAAUUUAACACAGAGAAGCUAAAUCUGUCAAAAAUAAAAUGAAGAGAAGCUGAGAGAUUGAUGUGAUUUAACUUUGUUUGUUCCUGCAUAUCAAAAUGGGAAGAAAGCUGAGUAAACGAGAGAGAGAAG